GACGAACCGUGCGAACGUUAUUCGGAAUCACUGGGCUUAAAGCGCGUGUAGGUGGGACGGCACGUCGGUCGUUGAAAUCCCCGGGCUCAACCCGGGAACUGCGUCCGAUACUGGCAGGCUUGAAUCCGGGAGAGGGAUGCGGAAUUCCAGGUGUAGCGGUGAAAUGCGUAGAUAUCUGGAGGAACACCGGUGGCGAAGGCGGCAUCCUGGACCGGCAUUGACGCUGAGGCGCGAAAGCCAGGGGAGCAAACGGG
RNAcentral lists this ribosomal RNA (254 nucleotides) under uncultured bacterium. RNAcentral describes it as "partial 16S ribosomal RNA". It matches the Rfam family "Bacterial small subunit ribosomal RNA", at positions 524 to 776 of the family's 1533-position model. The record is from RNAcentral.